This 327-nucleotide ribosomal RNA is filed under the name uncultured eukaryote. RNAcentral's name for it is "partial 18S ribosomal RNA". It matches the Rfam family "Eukaryotic small subunit ribosomal RNA", at positions 1470 to 1796 of the family's 1831-position model. The record is from RNAcentral.
CCCUUAGAUGUUCUGGGCCGCACGCGCGCUACACUGACGAAUGCAACGAGCUUAUAACCUUGUCCGAAAGGUCUGGGUAAUCUCCAAAUUUCGUCGUGAUGGGGAUAGAUUAUUGCAAUUAUUAAUCUUCAACGAGGAAUGCCUAGUAAGCGCAAGUCAUCAGCUUGCGUUGAUUACGUCCCCGCCCUUUGUACACACCGCCCGUCGCUCCUACCGAUUGAAUGGUCCGGUGAAGCGUUCGGACCGUGGCCUUUGGACGGUUCGCCGUCUGUUGGCUGCGGGAAGUUCGUUAAACCUUAUCAUUUAGAGGAAGGAGAAGUCGUAACA